GGCAUUCUGGUCCUCCUGGAUGUAAAUAUCCUCCAGGUCCUGCACUAUUUCCAACUUAUGCUCUAAGAUUUACAUCAGGGAUACAGAAAGAUGUCAAGAAUCAUCUCCUUUUAACCACUAGAUGGAGCCAGAGCACAGUCAGCUACAGGUGCCAGAGUCAGCGCAGGAGCACUGCAAGAUCUGACAGAACCGCUUCCGACCCAUCGGAUAGAUCCGACAGUUCUUCCCUGGCUUCAGCUCUGCCCCGUUCUGAUGCACAGGACAAGAAAGAUAAAGAUAUUCCUUCCACCACCUGACGUCUGCAUUUGGCCGGGACACGUUGAUCUCCAUCACAAUGGGUUUACCAGCAGAACUCUCCAGUGUGUCAGUGGUCAUGGGUAUAACAAGCCGGCGUUGUGCCCCGUCCACCUCAAGGAUCAAGUUAGGGCCCUC
Paralichthys olivaceus (Japanese flounder) is the source of this 432-nucleotide non-coding RNA. The record is from RefSeq and is a predicted model, not a curated record. Lineage: Eukaryota; Metazoa; Chordata; Actinopteri; Pleuronectiformes; Paralichthyidae.